This 466-nucleotide ribosomal RNA is filed under the name uncultured bacterium. RNAcentral's name for it is "partial 16S ribosomal RNA". It matches the Rfam family "Bacterial small subunit ribosomal RNA", at positions 28 to 507 of the family's 1533-position model. The record is from RNAcentral.
GACGAACGCUGGCGGCGUGCUUAACACAUGCAAGUCGAACGGUAAGGCUCCAGCUUGCUGGGGUACACGAGUGGCGAACGGGUGAGUAACACGUGGGUGACCUGCCCUGCACUUCGGGAUAAGCCUGGGAAACUGGGUCUAAUACCGGAUAGGACCAUGGUGUGGAUACUGUGGUGGAAAGUUUUUUCGGUGUGGGAUGGGCCCGCGGCCUAUCAGCUUGUUGGUGGGGUAAUGGCCUACCUAGGCGGCGACGGGUAGCCGGCCUGAGAGGGUGGACGGCCACAUUGGGACUGAGACACGGCCCAGACUCCUACGGGAGGCAGCAGUGGGGAAUAUUGCACAAUGGGCGGAAGCCUGAUGCAGCGACGCCGCGUGGGGGAUGACGGCCUUCGGGUUGUAAACUCCUUUCACCAUCGACGAAGGGUUUCUGACGGUAGAUGGAGAAGAAGCACCGGCUAACUACGUG